This 425-nucleotide long non-coding RNA is filed under the name Pan troglodytes (chimpanzee). Its description in RNAcentral is "long non-coding RNA NONPTRT000689". The record is from RNAcentral. Lineage: Eukaryota; Metazoa; Chordata; Mammalia; Primates; Hominidae.
AGGAGGUGGAGGAGGAGGAGGAGGACGAGGACGACGAGGACGGAGGGGAGAGGCCUGCUCUGCCUGCCGAAGCCCCGGGCUCUCCUACUCCCUCCGCCGCCGAGGCUCGGGGUUUUUUCCGCGGGGGCGGGGAGGCUCCGCCGGUGUCCGAGUCGGAGGAGGAGGAAGCGGAGGCCAGAGUUUCCUCGCCGAGAGAGGCCGUGCUGCUGCCUAAUGGAGUCCAGGCGCUCGCGUCACAGGAAAUGCCUAUACUGCCCUCCUCACUCACUUCCGGUGGCAGAUCAAGUCUUCAGCAGACAUCAUGUGACCUUGAGGAUGGAUGUCACAUGCUGGAGGAAACAGAAGGCCGAAACCCUGAUGACUUCACAGAGCUGCCAAAACAGUUCCUGACUGUUUAUUCCGGGUCUUUAACAAAGUGAUGAAAA